This is a long non-coding RNA of Nilaparvata lugens (brown planthopper), 320 nucleotides long. RefSeq lists it as uncharacterized. The transcript is spliced from 3 exons. The record is from RefSeq and is a predicted model, not a curated record. NCBI's taxonomy places the organism in Eukaryota, Metazoa, Arthropoda, Insecta, Hemiptera, Delphacidae.
GUGAAGAGAUUGGUGAAAUAAAUACUGCAAGAUUCCUUUAGAAAAUAAUAGGAUGAGGAGAAAAAGAUGAGGUGCUGGAGAAGCUUUUCAAAAGACCAGAACUAACUGCAGUGAUACUAAAUUCAAGCUAAAACUAUUCUUCAAACUUUCUGGCUACCUUCACACUUGCGAAGCACCCUAAUGUUAAGCGUAUGGUUUCUGCCGAUCAAGGAAGGAAAGUUGAGAGAGCAGCGGAUCAAGAUCAGCAUUCAUAGUCAUGGAGUAUGGUUGGAGAAAAACACAAAUUACGAAAUCUGGGAAAGAAUCAGGGCAACCAUCGC